Molecule: ribosomal RNA, 324 nt
Filed under: uncultured eukaryote
Lineage: Eukaryota
Description: partial 18S ribosomal RNA
Rfam family: Eukaryotic small subunit ribosomal RNA
Source: RNAcentral
CCCUUAGAUGCUCUGGGCCGCACGCGCGCUACACUGGUCGAUGCAACGAGUUUCUUUCCUUGGCCGACAGGCCUGGGCAAUCUUUGAACAUCGAUCGUGAUCGGGAUAGAUUCUUGUAAUUUUUGAUCUUAAACGAGGAAUUCCUAGUAAACGCAAGUCAUCAGCUUGCAUUGAUUACGUCCCUGCCCUUUGUACACACCGCCCGUCGCACCUACCGAUUGAAUGGUCCGGUGAAAUCUCCGGACUGGCGUGAGUCGGAGCAAUCUGACAAACGCCGGAAAGUUGAUUAAACCUUACCAUUUAGAGGAAGGUGAAGUCGUAAUA